RNAcentral lists this unclassified non-coding RNA (319 nucleotides) under uncultured fungus. Its description in RNAcentral is "partial contains small subunit ribosomal RNA, internal transcribed spacer 1, and 5.8S ribosomal RNA". The stretch from base 1 to 73 matches the Rfam family "Eukaryotic small subunit ribosomal RNA", at positions 1759 to 1831 of the family's 1831-position model. The record is from RNAcentral. Lineage: Eukaryota; Fungi.
UCAAACUUGGUCAUUUAGAGGAAGUAAAAGUCGUAACAAGGUUUCCGUAGGUGAACCUGCGGAAGGAUCAUUAAAGAGUUAGGGUCCUCUGGGCCCGACCUCCCAACCCUCUGUUUACCGAACCUCUGUUGCUUCGGCGGACCCGUCUCACGACCGCCGGAGGACCGCCCCCCAAGGUGUCCUCUGGCCAGCGUCCGCCGAUGGCCAACCUUCAAAACUCCUGAAUGAAUCGUGUUUAUUCUCUGAGUAACAUUUAUUAAAUUAAAGCAAAACUUUCAACAACGGAUCUCUUGGUUCUGGCAUCGAUGAAGAACGCAGC